This 98-nucleotide non-coding RNA is filed under the name Tissierellia bacterium KA00581. Its description in RNAcentral is "Purine riboswitch aptamer". It matches the Rfam family "Purine riboswitch aptamer". From Rfam's summary of the family: Riboswitches are metabolite binding domains within certain messenger RNAs that serve as precision sensors for their corresponding targets. Allosteric rearrangement of mRNA structure is mediated by ligand binding, and this results in modulation of gene expression. A class of riboswitches that selectively recognises guanine and becomes saturated at concentrations as low as 5 nM. The record is from Rfam by way of RNAcentral. Lineage: Bacteria; Bacillati; Bacillota; Tissierellia. RNAcentral also lists the same sequence under 1 other name.
UAUCAUGAUUUUUUAAUGACUUAUAUAUGCUUCGAAUAUGGCGAAGUGUUUCUACCUAAAUCCGUAAAAUUUAGACUAUAAGUUAGAUUUUUUAUUUU